UAGCCACAAAUAUUAACAAAAAUUUAUAUGCCCCGCGCCUAAUACUAAUGAAGAUAAAAACUAAAAUCAACAUAAGUUUUACACCUAUGCUAGGAUGAGUAUUACCAAUUUUCUACUUCUAUGAGGUAAAUAUUAUUUCUCAUUCUACAUAUAAUUUUAAAAAAACUAAUUAAAUGAAAGGAACUCGGCAAAAUAAUUGCUUCGCCUGUUUACCAAAAACAUGGCUCUUUGAAUUAAAAAAAUAAAGAGUCAAACCUGCCCAGUGAAAUAUUUUUAACGGCCGCGGUACUCUGACCGUGCAAAGGUAGCGUAAUCAUUUGCCUUAUAAUUGAAGGCUAGUAUGAAUGGUUCGACGUGAGCAAUACUGUCUCUCCUUUAUUUCCUAGAAAUUAACUUUUAGGUGAAGAGGCCUAAAUAUAAUUAAAGGACAAGAAGACCCUGUCGAGCUUAAAAGACAAAAUAGAAGUUAAUAUCCUAAGAAAUAAAUAUUCUGUUAAGCUUUUUAGUUGGGGCGACUAAGGAACAAAUAAAGCUUCUUUCUUAAAAGCAAGCUAAUCAGCACAGAUCCAGCACUUACCGCUGAUCAAGAAAAUUAGUUACCGCAGGGAUAACAGCAUAAUCUCUCUUGAGAGACCAAAUCGAGAGAGGGGGUUGUGACCUCGAUGUUGGACUAGAAUAUCCGAAAGAUGCAGACGUCUUUAAAGGUUGGUCUGUUCGACCAUUAAAAUU
Molecule: ribosomal RNA, 729 nt
Filed under: Cleopatra johnstoni
Lineage: Eukaryota; Metazoa; Mollusca; Gastropoda; Paludomidae
Description: partial 16S ribosomal RNA
Rfam family: Bacterial large subunit ribosomal RNA
Source: RNAcentral